CCCUUAGAUGUUCUGGGCCGCACGCGCGCUACACUGACACGUUCAUCAAGUCUAUAACCUUGACCGAGAGGUCUGGGUAAUCUUUUAAAAACGUGUCGUGCUGGGGAUAGAUUAUUGCAAUUAUUAAUCUUCAACGAGGAAUGCCUAGUAGGCGCAAGUCAUCAGCUUGCGUCGAUUACGUCCCUGCCCUUUGUACACACCGCCCGUCGCUCCUACCGAUUGGGUGUGCUGGUGAAAUGUUCGGAUCGGCCGUUUGUCGCGGUUUCCGCGUCAUGUGGCUGAGAAGUUCAUUAAACCCUCCCACCUAGAGGAAGGAGAAGUCGUAACA
Molecule: ribosomal RNA, 328 nt
Filed under: uncultured eukaryote
Lineage: Eukaryota
Description: partial 18S ribosomal RNA
Rfam family: Eukaryotic small subunit ribosomal RNA
Source: RNAcentral